This 72-nucleotide transfer RNA is filed under the name Camelus bactrianus (Bactrian camel). It matches the Rfam family "tRNA". Rfam says of the family: Transfer RNA (tRNA) molecules are approximately 80 nucleotides in length. Their secondary structure includes four short double-helical elements and three loops (D, anti-codon, and T loops). Lineage: Eukaryota; Metazoa; Chordata; Mammalia; Artiodactyla; Camelidae. RNAcentral also lists the same sequence under 1 other name. The record is from Rfam by way of RNAcentral.
GAGGGUAUAGCUCAGUGGUAGAGCACAAGCCUAGCAUGCAUGAGGUCCUGGGUUCAAGCCCCAGUAUCUCCA